RNAcentral lists this ribosomal RNA (492 nucleotides) under uncultured bacterium. RNAcentral describes it as "partial 16S ribosomal RNA". It matches the Rfam family "Bacterial small subunit ribosomal RNA", at positions 29 to 507 of the family's 1533-position model. The record is from RNAcentral.
AGUGAACGCUGGCGGUAGGCCUAACACAUGCAAGUCGAACGGCAGCACAGUAAGAGCUUGCUCUUACGGGUGGCGAGUGGCGGACGGGUGAGGAAUACAUCGGAAUCUACUUUUUCGUGGGGGAUAACGUAGGGAAACUUACGCUAAUACCGCAUACGACCUACGGGUGAAAGCAGGGGAUCUUCGGACUUUGCGCGAUUGAAUGAGCCGAUGUCGGAUUAGCUAGUUGGCGGGGUAAAGGCCCACCAAGGCGACGAUCCGUAGCUGGUCUGAGAGGAUGAUCAGCCACACUGGAACUGAGACACGGUCCAGACUCCUACGGGAGGCAGCAGUGGGGAAUAUUGGACAAUGGGCGCAAGCCUGAUCCAGCCAUACCGCGUGGGUGAUGAAGGCCUUCGGGUUGUAAAGCCCUUUUGUUGGGAAAGAAAAGCAGCAGGUUAAUACCCCGCUAUUCUGACGGUACCCAAAGAAUAAGCACCGGCUAACUUCGUG